UCCCCGUCACCGAGGCAGUCCAAAUAGAAAAAUUCAACUAUUUACAAGGGUUGCGCUCGUUGAUGGACUUAACCAAACAUCUCACGACACGAGCUGACGACGGCCAUGCAGCACCUGUCACCUGAUUCCCGAAGGCACAGUCUCCUUUCGGAGACCUUCCAGGGAUGUCAAGCCUUGGUAAGGUUCUUCGCUUAUCAUCGAAUUAAACAACACGCUCCACCGCUUGUGCGGGUCCCCGUCAAUUCCUUUAUGUUUUAAGCUUGCGCUCGUACUCCACAGGCGGGAUGCUUAACGCGUUAGCUUCGCAACACAGCGGGUCGAUACGCUGUACUGCUAGCAUCCAUCGUUUACGGCGUGGACUAC
Molecule: unclassified non-coding RNA, 363 nt
Filed under: uncultured bacterium
Lineage: Bacteria
Description: contains 16S-23S intergenic spacer region
Source: RNAcentral